This 1280-nucleotide long non-coding RNA is filed under the name Nicotiana tabacum (common tobacco). Its description in RNAcentral is "long non-coding RNA (NTAB_LNC017068)". The record is from RNAcentral. Lineage: Eukaryota; Viridiplantae; Streptophyta; Magnoliopsida; Solanales; Solanaceae.
UAUCAUCCUAUAGAAGUAUACCUACAUCCAUUAAAAGAUGCAGUACCCCCGGCAAAAAGGACGUGAGUACAUGUGGAAUAGUACUCGCAUGUAAGGCAAACAGAACAACAUAUCAAAUCAUGGUAAUUCAAUAAGAGGCGUAUACAGUACAUCAAAAACUAUGAAACAUCCCAUAGAUUCACAUUUUCAGGUCUCGUUAUGCUUACAUCAUUUUAAACUUCUUUUAGGAUUACCUGAGCCAUAUGAACUAUGCGUGGAAUACAUAAUAUAAAGUAAUUGAAACAAUAUGUACAAACAAGGCCAAUGAAAAUGGCACAUAAUGUCUGCAUUAACAAUGCAUGUUACUAGAUCGUCCAUAUCCCUCUCUUAUCUUACCCCUAUGCAUUUCAUAGACCGUCCUUAGUGUUCACAUAUCAUAUUAUACAUAGACCGUUCAUAGGAUUCCAAACACAAUACACGUAUGUGUUUCUUAGACCGUUCAUAGGAUUUCAUACACAAUACACCUAUGCAUUUCAUAGACUAUUCAUAGGAUUUACUUACACAAUACACUUGUGUAUUCAUAGACUGUUCACAGGAUUCACAUAUACCAUGUAAUACACAUGUGUGUUUCAUAGAUUGUUCGCAGUGUUUACUUACACAAUACACCUGUGCGUUUCAUAGACCGUUCACAGUGUUUACUUAUAUAAUACACCUGUGCAUUUCAUAGACCGUUCAUAGUUUUUACUUACACAAUACACCUGUGCGUUUCAUAGACCGUUUACAUGAUUCACAUAUACCAUACAAUACACCUGUGUGUUUCAUAGACCGUUCACUGUGUUCAUUCAUAUUAUAUUAUACACCUAUGCAUUUCAUAACCCGUCCAUAGGGUUCACAUAUUAUACACAUAUGCGUUUCAUAUCCCGUCUAUAGGGUUCAUAACACAUCAUUAUGCACAUAACCAGUUAUAAACUCAAAGUGGCAUGAUUAACAUUAUAUUAAGGUCAUAAGUUCCCGGAUCAUUGGAACACUUCAUGUUCAUGCUCAUCAUAGAGAAACAUAGCUCAUUACAUUAGCACAUGCAUAGUGAAUCAAUAAGUCAAUUUCAAUGGCACAUGAGCCCAAUUUCUUUUCUUAAGGUUCACCAUCAUUUACCAUAGGACAUCUCCCUUUCAUCUUGUUAUUCACUCACUUGACAUCUUGAGGUAAUUAUCUAAGUUCAUGAUUCUUGAUGACUUAACAUCGAAGUCAUUUACAUACAUUAUUUCAGAAGCAUAAAAAUAUAGUUGAAACCAUUGGGGCAU